RNAcentral lists this long non-coding RNA (1003 nucleotides) under Scleropages formosus (Asian bonytongue). RNAcentral's name for it is "lncRNA (ENSSFOG00015032906.1)". Lineage: Eukaryota; Metazoa; Chordata; Actinopteri; Osteoglossiformes; Osteoglossidae. The record is from RNAcentral.
CCUGGCGAAGGCCCUGCGCUCACAGGUGAGCAAAACGGCUCCUGCCGAGCUGCGUGUGUCGCACUGUUUAACAACAACUUCGGGGAGAACCACACUCUGAAUUAUUAGAUUCGUCAUGUUCUCCCAUAAUUAACGCCGCAUCUGUAUUCCGAGCGGAGAAUAAAAGCAAACAAGCGUCUACCUCCAUCGCAAUGAGGUAGCGGUAAAAGAGCGGUGCGCGAAUGAAAUGGCAGGGACACCGCUCAGUAAUUAAAAGCAUAUGGCGCCGCAGAUGCCGGAACACCAAACGAGUCAAUGGAACCGGCUUGUCAGAGUUGUCAAACGCCUGCGAGCGUCAGGAGUGGAUGGAGAAGAGGAGGCGAGGAGGAGAAGAAGAUGGACGACGACGCAACAACGCGGCGGCUCAGAUGGGCGGUGGGCCACCGCGCUCCACGAACAGGCCCCUCCUCCCUGUCAUCCGCCCGUGGACCUUCCGCUUGGCGGAGCCGUCUAAUUUACCGAAGACCCCGGGCAAGUCAGGUAGCGUGUUGGCGUUCAAGGCAGGGCUGUGCGAGCUGCUUUCAUGACUUAGGAGAGAGAGCGGAGAGUGGCGCUCGGAGCGCGAGCCCCCCCCCCCAAGCAGCGGCGCCGGUACCUUCUAACGUCUUCCGAGGCUUCCAAGAAAUCCGCGCAACUCAAAUAAGGCAGCAGGUGAACCGAAGAGACUUUCUUCCGGAAAAGUCGCCGUUUUCCGCGCGUGGCACACGGCGGCCUACUAACAGAUGUGACCAAGUGAACUGAAAGGGGAAUCUCGAGGAGUUUCAUCCUUUCCCUCCUCCAGUCGAGGCAGCCUUGCUGUGAGCUUUCAUACGCAGGUAUGUAGACCAUGUUGGCAGUCCACCGAUUGGCUGAUUAAUGGUUGUUGGAUUAAUUGUGGAUAUGGAGAGGCAUCAGUGCACAAAUGCAAUGGAUGCAAUUAGGAAUCAAAAAUAUCAGCUUCAUAUGACUAUUUACAACUGAAGGG